Molecule: non-coding RNA, 2730 nt
Organism: Pelobates cultripes (western spadefoot toad)
Lineage: Eukaryota; Metazoa; Chordata; Amphibia; Anura; Pelobatidae
Source: the annotation of a GenBank genome assembly
CCACACUGCCCCCCCAUUGUCACCAGUACACGCACUCCCUCCCGCACUAUCACCCUCACCUCCUGUCUCUGUAUGUAUGUGUAUCUGUGUGUCCUUUUGUGCAAGUGUGUGUAUUUGUGUGUCUGUGUAUCUGUGUCAGAUGUCAACUGUUGGUAAGUUAUUUUGCUUAGAGAUACCUACUAUGACUCUACUUGCCUAUACUAGAAGAAUUUCAAAAGGUUCCAUUAAUGUCAGCUGGCUCACUGUAUCUUGCGUAAAUCACAGACUGAAUUUUACCGUUGUCAAUGCAGGUUGGAAGGCCCUUGUACAACAGAAGACACAAACAUGUCAGCUCUAUCUUAAAUAAAAAUGUGUUUCGUACGUAACAAGUUGUGUUAUGUUUCCAUAGCAGCUGUCAACUAGAUAUUAACUGAGUGCGAAAUAUUGACAGAUGAUGCCUGUUGUUGUGGAGUACCCAGAAGUCAGAGGAGAGAUGCCAACGACCUGAGGACCACAAGGAAAAGGUAGGCCACCACACCACGAGCUAUAGUUUAGAAAAUUAAGAAAAAUAAACUUCAAAAUUGUUUAUCAUGAUGUACUAACAAGCACAUUCUCUUUUUUGACUUAUUUUUAUACACUUGAAUGGCUGUUAACUUUAGUUUUUAAACACAAAAUAAAAACAUUCUAUUCAUUCUGAGACCAUGCAUCGGUGCAGGAAGUAUCUCUGAAGGCGCUCCAUGAGAUUACAGGGUGUUUUUCCUCCUGACUCUGUAUGUAUAACACUCUACAGUGCUCUAACCAGACACAUCCUUUGAUAGAAACAGUGUUUACAUCUUAUUUAUGUGCCAAUCCUCUCCUUUCCAAGAGGAAGAAUUAUUUUUCUGUUGUUGCACCCUUGGCAGACUUUCCAGAGUGUAUCUGGUAUAUGUCAAACUUUGAAAUAAAGUUGUUCAUUACAGAAAAUAAUUAUAUAUAUUUAUUGCUUGAUAUGAAAUGUAAGACGUUAAUGGAAGAUUCUGAUCAUUACAGUGUAAAAAAAUGUUUUUCACAAAUGAACUAGGGAGGAAUACAAUAGAAUUAAAUUUUUUUUAAGGAUUAUAUAAAUUAUUUUAAGACAUUUUACAUAUUUAAUAAAAUAUAAUUUCAGCCUACACCACUGCUAAUUUUAGAUUGAUGUUUAUUUAAAUAGAAAGCUGCAUAUUUACGCAAUUAUUUUUUUCCGAACAGCAAAUUCUUUUAAAAAUGUCCAAAGACAAGCUGAUAUAAAUCAUUCAUGGUUUACAAAAAAAUCCUAUACGGUGGUUGGUGCAUUUUGAAAAUUAAGUACUACAUCUAUCUAUGCUGGACUAGAUCUGCCCUUCGUCUAGUCAUUUUAUUUAAAGGAAAUGUGAGCUAUAGUACAAUGGCAGUAUUUCUUAAUGCUUCAUUAAAGGAACUAUAUAGUCACCAAAACAGCUUUAGCUUAAUGAAGCAGUUUUGGUGAAUAGAUUAUGCAGUCUUACUGCUCGAUUGUCUGCUAUUUAGUAGUUAAAUCACGUUGCUUAUGCAGCCCUAGUUACACCUAACAGCAUGGGACUUCCACAUCCUUUCUAAACACUUCCUGUAAAGAGCCAUGUUUACCCUUCUUAAUUGCAAAUUUUGUUUAAUUUAGAAUUUUUUGUGUCCUGCUCUAUUAAUAGCUUGCUAGAUCCUACAGAAACCUCCUGCAUGUGAUUAAAGUUCAAUUUACAGAGCAGAAGAUAAAAAUUGUUAAAGUAAGUUAUAUCUGAUUGAAAAUAAAACCAUUUUGUUUUCAUGCAGGUUCUGUCAGUCACAGCCAGGGUGUGUGGCUAGGGCUACAUAAACAGAAACAAAAGUGAUUUAACUCCUAGAUGGCAGUGAAUUGAGUAGUGAGAUUUCAGAGGCAUGAUCUAUACACAAAAACUGCUUCAUUAAGGUAAAAUUGUUUUGGUGACUAUAGUGUCCCUUUAAAUAAUAAUUUGUGGUAAUUCGUCCAUCAGCAUGCAACAAUUUUUCAAACUGUCCAAGUUGGGAAAAAAAUCACAACCCAAGAUAGCUGAAUGUUAUUUCAAACUUGACAAUUUAACCUAUCUGUUCAAGACCCUGACUCUACAAGAUAUAAAACUCUGUUUUCUUAGAUUAACCUACUAUUCAAGAAAAUGGGCAGAAUUUAUAUGUGUAGAACAAAUACAGAUACAGUCUUGAAUGUGGAUCUGUCAAAAAUAUCCAGUAUGGGACUCAAUAUGAUUUUUCAUAUAUUACAAAUCAAACUGCUACUUUUCAUCUAUAGUAAAUACAAUGAUUCUUAUAAGAUUACGUUGAAGGUGCAGCUGUUUAAAUUAAUUAGAUCUGCAGAAAGUACCCCUUAAUUUAAACAGCUUUCCCAUCACCGUUAACGUGUGUUGUGAAAGUGACAUUAUUAUUUUUUUGGGAAAAAUGGAAAUUAUUUUUUGUGAGUGACUGCUACUUUCUCUUUAAAGGAAAUGUCAAAACUGCACAGAAAAAGAAAACAUGGAUUAAAACAGGCAAGGCAUAUAAAGCAUUGUCUGAAUCUUCACUCCAAACAAACAAAGAUAAAGUGGUUCAACUCGAGCAAUUUGUAAACAUCUGUUUGCUGUAAUCAUCAGAUUUUGUUUGGUUUUUCAGCCAUUCCUUGGCUCGAACAUCAUGGCGCGCGACGAAAGAAGAAAACAUAUGGACUAGGGCUGUGAUUUACAGACUGCAAAGCAAGUAUCGCAGAAAGUGUUGGCU